RNAcentral lists this ribosomal RNA (842 nucleotides) under uncultured fungus. RNAcentral's name for it is "SSU rRNA". It matches the Rfam family "Eukaryotic small subunit ribosomal RNA", at positions 564 to 1436 of the family's 1831-position model. The record is from RNAcentral. Lineage: Eukaryota; Fungi.
GUGCCAGCAGCCGCGGUAAUUCCAGCUCCAAUAGCGUAUAUUAAAGUUGUUGUGGUUAAAAAGCUCGUAGUUGAACCUUGGGCCUGGCUGGCCGGUCCGCCUCACCGCGUGCACUGGUCCGGCCGGGCCUUUCCCUCUGUGGAACCCCAUACCCUUCACUGGGCGUGGCGGGGAAACAGGACAUUUACUUUGAAAAAAUUAGAGUGCUCCAGGCAGGCCUAUGCUCGAAUACAUUAGCAUGGAAUAAUAAAAUAGGACGCGCGGUUCUAUUUUGUUGGUUUAUAGGACCGCCGUAAUGAUUAAUAGGGACAGUCGGGGGCAUCAGUAUUCAACUGUCAGAGGUGAAAUUCUUGGAUCAGUUGAAGACUAACUACUGCGAAAGCAUUUGCCAAGGAUGUUUUCAUUAAUCAGGAACGAAAGUUAGGGGAUCGAAGACGAUCAGAUACCGUCGUAGUCUUAACCAUAAACUAUGCCGACUAGGGAUCGGACGGUGUUAUUCAUGACCCGUUCGGCACCUUACGAGAAAUCAAAGUGCUUGGGCUCCAGGGGGAGUAUGGUCGCAAGGCUGAAACUUAAAGAAAUUGACGGAAGGGCACCACCAGGGGUGGAGCCUGCGGCUUAAUUUGACUCAACACGGGGAAACUCACCAGGUCCAGACACAAUAAGGAUUGACAGAUUGAGAGCUCUUUCUUGAUUUUGUGGGUGGUGAUGCAUGGCCGUUCUUAGUUGGUGGGGUGACUUGUCUGCUUAAUUGCGAUAACGAGCGAGACCUUAACCUGCUAAAUAGCCCGCAUUGCUCCGGCAGUGCGCUGGCUUCUUAGAGGGACUUUCGGCUCAAGCCG